RNAcentral lists this ribosomal RNA (408 nucleotides) under uncultured bacterium. Its description in RNAcentral is "partial 16S ribosomal RNA". It matches the Rfam family "Bacterial small subunit ribosomal RNA", at positions 28 to 526 of the family's 1533-position model. The record is from RNAcentral.
GACGAACGCUGGCGGCGUGCUUAACACAUGCAAGUCGAACGAAGUGGCGAACGGGUGAGUAAUACGUGGGUAACCUGCCCUCCUUUUUGGGAUAAGCCUUGGAAACGGGGUCUAAUACCGAAUAAAGGGGGAUGGGCUCGCGGCCUAUCAGCUUGUUGGUGGGGUGAUGGCCUACCAAGGCGGUGACGGGUAGCCGGCCUGAGAGGGGGAACGGCGACAUUGGGACUGAGAUACGUCCCAGACUCCGACGGGAGGGAGAAGGGGGCGAUAUUGCACAAUGGGCGAAAGCCUGAUGCGGCGACGGCGCGUGGGGGAUGAAGGCUUUCGGGUUGUAAACCUCUUUCGCUAUCGAAGGGGUAGGUGGAGAAGAAGCGCCGGCUAACUACGUGCCAGCCGCCGCGGUAAUUC